Long non-coding RNA from Oncorhynchus tshawytscha (Chinook salmon), 1029 nucleotides. NCBI's taxonomy places the organism in Eukaryota, Metazoa, Chordata, Actinopteri, Salmoniformes, Salmonidae. The record is from Ensembl.
CCCUGGCCUGUCUCCCCUUGUAUGGUACAGGUACCCCCACCACACUCCCCCUCUCUCCCUGGCCUGUCUCCCCUGUCUGGUACAGGUACCCCCACCACACUCCACCCUCUCUCCCUGGUCUGUCUCCCCUGUCUGGUCCAGGGACCCCCACCACACUCACCCCUCUCUCCCUGGCCUGUCUGGUACAGGUACCCCCACCACACGCACCCUUCUCUCCCUGGCCUGUCUGGUACAGGUACCCCCACCACACUCACCCCUCUCUCCCUGGCCUGUCUGGUACAGGUACCCCCACCACACUCACCCCUCUCUCCCUGGCCUGUCUGGUACAGGUACCUCCACCACACUCACCCCUCUCUCCCUGGCCUGUCUCCCCUUGUCUGGUACAGGUACCCCCACCACACUCACCCCUCUCUCCCUGGUCUGUCUCCCCUGUCUGGUACAGGUACCCCCACCACACUCACCCCUCUCUCCCUGGCCUGUCUGGUACAGGUACCUCCACCACAUUCACCCCUCUCUCCCUGGCCUGUCUGGUACAGGUACCUCCACCACACUCACCCCUCUCUCCCUGGCCUGUCUGGUACAGGUACCCCCACCACACUCACCCCUCUCUCCCUGGCCUGUCUGGUACAGGUACCCCCACCACACUCACCCCUCUCUCCCUGGCCUGUCUGGUACAGGUACCUCCACCACACUCACCCCUCUCUCCCUGGUCUGUCUCCCCCUGUCUGGUACAGGUACCUCCACCACACUCCCCCUCUCUCCCUGGCCUGUCUCCCCUUGUCUGGUACAGGUACCCCCACCACACUCAUCCCUCUCUCUCUGGCCUGUCUGGUACAGGUACCCCCACCACACUCCCCCCUCUCUCCCUGGUCUGUCUCUCCUCCUGCACCCAGGCACUGUUGGGGCGAGUGACUCUGACCUUAAAAUGGCUAGGCCCAAGUACUUAUAUAUUAGAUUUUUUUCUUGUGCAUUUUGCCUCAUGACUCCUGCAUACUUUGUUGACUACAAACUUUCUAUCCCAACCAUGGG